GACGAACGCUGGCGGCGUGCUUAACACAUGCAAGUCGAACGGAAAGGCCUGCUUUCCCUUGUGGAUUGCGGGUACUCGAGUGGCGAACGGGUGAGUAACACGUGAGUGAUCUGCCCCCAACUUGGGUAUAAGCCUGGGAAACUGGGUCUAAUUCCCGAUAGGACUGCAGGGUGGUGCCUGUGGUGGAAAACGAUUUUCUAGUGGUUGGGGAUGAGCUCGCGGCCUAUCAGCUUGUUGGUGGGGUAAUGGCCUACCAAGGCGGCGACGGGUAGCCGGCCUGGGAGGGUGGACGGGCACAGUGGGACUGAGAUACGGGCCAGACUCCUACGGGAGGCAGCAGUGGGGAAUAUUGCACAAUGGGCGGAAGCCUGAUGCAGCGACGCCGCGUGGGGGAUGACGGCCUUCGGGUGGUAAACUCCUUUCGACCGCGAGGAAGCCACCUGGUUGGAAGGGUGGUGACGGUAGUGGUAGAAGAAGCACCGGCUAACUACGUG
This 494-nucleotide ribosomal RNA is filed under the name uncultured bacterium. RNAcentral describes it as "partial 16S ribosomal RNA". It matches the Rfam family "Bacterial small subunit ribosomal RNA", at positions 28 to 507 of the family's 1533-position model. The record is from RNAcentral.